CGAGAGGACCGGGAUGGACGUACCUCUGGUGUACCAGUUGUUCUGCCAAGGGCAUGGCUGGGUAGCUAUGUACGGAAUGGAUAAGCGCUGAAAGCAUCUAAGCGCGAAGCCAACUUCAAGAUAAGAUGUCCCACCGCAAGGGUAAGACCCCAGAAAGACUAUCUGGUUGAUAGGUCGAAGGUGUAAGUGCAGCAAUGUAUUUAGCUUAUCGAUACUAAUAGGUCGAGGACUUGACCAAU
This 239-nucleotide ribosomal RNA is filed under the name Clostridioides difficile. RNAcentral describes it as "partial 23S ribosomal RNA". It matches the Rfam family "Bacterial large subunit ribosomal RNA", at positions 2684 to 2925 of the family's 2925-position model. The record is from RNAcentral. Lineage: Bacteria; Bacillati; Bacillota; Clostridia; Peptostreptococcales; Peptostreptococcaceae.